RNAcentral lists this ribosomal RNA (498 nucleotides) under uncultured bacterium. RNAcentral describes it as "partial 16S ribosomal RNA". It matches the Rfam family "Bacterial small subunit ribosomal RNA", at positions 27 to 507 of the family's 1533-position model. The record is from RNAcentral.
GGAUGAACGCUGGCGGCGUGCCUAAUCCAUGCAAGUCGAGCGAACAGACGAGGAGCUUGCUCCUCUGACGUUAGCGGCGGACGGGUGAGUAACACGUGGAUAACCUACCUAUAAGACUGGGAUAACUUCGGGAAACCGGAGCUAAUACCGGAUAAUAUAUUGAACCGCAUGGUUCAAUAGUGAAAGACGGUUUUGCUGUCACUUAUAGAUGGAUCCGCGCCGCAUUAGCUAGUUGGUAAGGUAACGGCUUACCAAGGCAACGAUGCGUAGCCGACCUGAGAGGGUGAUCGGCCACACUGGAACUGGGACACGGUCCAGACUCCAACGGGAGGCAGAAGUAGGGAAUCUUCAGAAAUGGGCGAAAGCCUGACGGAGCAACGCCGCGUGAGUGAUGAAGGUCUUCGGAUCGUAAAAAUCUGUUAUUAGGGAAGAACAAAUGUGUAAGUAACUAUGCACGUCUUGACGGUACCUAAUCAGAAAGCCACGGCUAACUACGUG